Callithrix jacchus (white-tufted-ear marmoset) is the source of this 1862-nucleotide long non-coding RNA. The record is from Ensembl. NCBI's taxonomy places the organism in Eukaryota, Metazoa, Chordata, Mammalia, Primates, Cebidae.
AUGAAUGUAAUGAAUGUAGAAACUCUUUCAGUCAAACUUCAUGCCUUAUUCAGCAUCAAAAAAUGCAUAGGAAAGAUACAUCAUAUGAACGUAAUGAGUAUGGGCAGUUUCGGUCAUAACUCAGAUCUUAUCCUGCAACAAGAAGUUCUCACCAGACAGAAAGUCUUUGAUUGUGAUGUAUAUAGGAAAAGAACUCAAGUCAGAGAGCACACCUGGUUCAACAUCAGAGCAUUCAUACCAAAGAGAACUUGUGAGUGUAAUGAAGACUGGAAUAAAGAGCCAAUCUCUCUCGUGGCACAGGGGAAGAUACAAGCUUGCUUACAUUUGACAGAUCUAACAAAGACAUCUAUCUGCCAAGGUCUGGAUGGACGUGCAGGGAGCUCUUAGGUCAGUGCUGCUGGUUGGAGGACAUCCCUAAGUCCGGUUUUGCAGACUUUGUGCAGCAGUAUUCUCUCAGGACCCACCGGAAAUUCUUAGAGUUCACCUGGACAUUUCACUUCCGGUUUCCACUUCAUUUCAGUUUCCAAGUGUCAGAGGAGUUCAGGACUGUCUGGCAUGGAGCCCUCCUCAGCACCUCAAUUCAGCAUUACCUACUCAAGGCAUGAAAUAAAAGGAAAUAGAUUUUAAGUAUGAAGCCUGCUCUUUUAGGCCCUGCUGAAGAAACCAUUUCAGACGGAAUUGGAAUGGAGAAACCAGGCACUCAGCUCGGCGCAAGCAGGCGUCGCCUUCAUACCAGAGAACCUCUCCUCCUGUGUGGUGCAAGUGGGGCCUCGGCUUGAGGUCAGCAUUCUAGCUGCCCAGCGCUCCCUCUCUGGCACCUCGGAGAGGACUGUUGACUCGACAGGCCUGGGUCACGAGCAGCUGCAGGAGAAUGAAGACCCGGGAUGUGAUGAAACAGAACCAGAGCUCCCAAGUUUACUCCGCCAGCUUCUGGCAUAACAGCAUCUCGAAGAUGAGCUUGAGACUCAAGACCGUUAGGACCCAGAAAAGGCGGAGCACCGUCAGCCGCUUCUCUCUGUCCUAGAAGAGGAUCAGGGACACGAUGGUGGUGAAGCAGGCGCUGAGCCCGUCAGCGGCGAAGAAAGGCACGAACGCGUUCCAUCAGGAAAGGCCUGGGACCAGGCCAUCCACAUGCAGUGUCAGCAAGUGCACGAAGAUCUCGAAGGUGGCAAAGCCCAGCCACUGCACCAGCUUCCGGAGCUAGAAGAGCAUCGCGCCUGUUGAGUGCGGGCGGGGACCGGCCUAGCGUGCCACCCGCGGUGCUGCGUCUCUUCUCCCCGUGGCCCUGGACUAGGCCUGCCCGAGCUGCUGAGAGCUAGAGGCAGCCACCUGCUGGUCAGCUUCGGCCUCGGCCCUGGUGCGCCCCCAAUCCCCAGGCCCGGCCCGGAACUCAACACUGGCCUCCCGCGGACGCCCACCUCGCUAGGACUCCAUGCUCCUCUGGGCGGUAAUUUUUGAAUUAUCAUUUCAACCUCACUGCUUGUUUAUUGGUCUGUUCAGUGUAUCUAAUUCUUCCUGAUUUAGGCUAGGAAGGUGGUAUAUUUCCAGGAAUUUAUCCAUUUUCCCUAGGUUUUCUAGUUUAUGUGCAUAAAGGUGUUCAUCGUAGCCUUGAAUGAUCUUUUGUAUUUCUUUGGUGUCAGUUGUAAUAACUCCCGUUUCAUUUCUAAUUGAGUUUAUUUGGAUUUUCUCUCUUCUUCGUUAACCUUGCUAAUGGUGUAUCAACUUUAUCUUUUGAAAGAACCAGCAUUUUUUUUUUCAUUGAUCUUUUGUAUUGCUUUGUUUCGAUUUCAUUUAGCUCUGCUUGGAUCUUGGUUAUUUUCUUUCUUCUGCUGGAUUUGGGUCUGUUUUUUUCUUGUUUCUCU